CUAUUCCCUGUGUUUUUGUUUUUUAUAUUUCUGUUGUAAAUUAUUGUCUUUUAUUGAGAUAGUAAUGUGUUUUUAUUACAUGUACAGCACUUUGGCUCAACCUGACUAUUCCCUGUGUUUUUGUUUUUUAUAUUUCUGUUGUAAAUUAUUGUCUUUUAUUGUGAUAGUAAUGUGUUUUUAUUACAAGUACAGCACUUUGGCUCGACCAAAGUCUUGAACCAGCAAGACCAGCCUGGCCAGCUUGUCCAGCCUGGUAAACCAACUAAACCAGCCUAACACCAGCUAAAACCAGCCAAGCAACCCGGGAAACUGGCUAUGGACGUUUGUUCACUUUCUUCUAGCUCUUAUUAUUAUUUAUAACAUCUGUUUUUGUGUUUAAUCCAUAGAGCUGAGUAUGAGCAUUUCCCCUCCUGGAUUGAGCCAGGAGGAUCUAUUACUCUGUCAAAGCUCCUCUCCCUCUGGGGGAACCUUGUCUGCUUUCAGUGUAGGGACUGCAUGGUGUGACACUUUAAAAGGGUGAGUAAACUAACUCACUGUAAUAAUUUUGUAGAAGUUGUGCUUUGAGUAGUGCGUGCUUUUGUUCUCUUUUUGUCCCUCACAGUUAGCAGGCAUUGUGACCUAGUGGACCAGACCUGCCCAUCUGAGGAGGGAAAACCCACCAUGUAAUAGUGUAAAGGAAGCCCCACAAUCUGCAAAACAACUUUGGAUUUAGAUUGAGGGUCCACAGGUUCCUCCAUCCCCUCAGCAGGAGUUGGUGUUGUCAGCUAUUUAAAGGGGACCCCAGCCACAGUACCGCAUCAGAGACAGGGUGUGUUCACUGUUGGCCUAAUAUAUUAUUGGUCAACUGAACUUGGCUAACGCUAAACACAACCACACCUUAACAUAAGCAAAAACAGUCUACCUGCUCACCUGGUGAUGGCCCACUAUAUGGGUAAUAGUCAAAUGACUGCCACAAGGCCUUUCUAUGACACUGAAUAGGAACAGACCACAGCUCUGAUUUAGGAGAUCUUGCUGACCAACUAUUGCUGAGUUGAUUUAACAGAAAGCCUCUUUAAAAUGAGAUUAUGUUUCUCAGAAGAAAGAGAAAUUGUGCCUCAUGUUUAAAAAAAAAUCUAAAGUCUGCAAGCCAGACUGACUCUUUUCACUUUUUUAAGGUUACACCAGCAAACCCUUGUACCCAGAUGCUAAAUUACCACUUAGCUACAUUUUAAACAUUAAAUACUUUUCUAUAACUUAGAGGCUGCACUGUCUGCUGUUCAGCAAAAGUUAAGGAGACUGGCUUUAAAGGUGAAAUGUGCUGUCAAAGUGUGUGAAUAAUGCAUUGUUUCCUUGUCAAUAAAGUGAACCAUUAUGUUGCAUAUAUCACAAACACAAAAAGGACUUUCAUACACACAGUAAGUGUACAUCUGUGUCUUUAUUGGGGCCAAAGGGAUGUUAACAGAGUAACAGGUGAACAGUGACCUGGUUCAAUAAGAUGUAUGUAAUAUCUCAGUUGAUAAACACAAGUUAUGCCAGAUGCACAAACUGAGGGAUAAGAAUAAUAAUGGAAAUCAUUCCAUGUGUGAUCAAAACCGUAGUUGGUGUGGACAGUCUUCUUUUCCAUCAUUGUUGGGCUCUCCUGAACUCUAAGAGACAAAGAUAAUGAACCCUAAAUUGCUCCUGAUUGCAUGGCGAUCAGUGUGAGUGUGAAUCUUGUUCUCCAUUAGCAGGUGCAUGCACUAUAUGAAUGUGUGUAUCCUGCUGUUCAGCUUGACUUAUGUCAAAGACAUUUGAGGGGUCACGAGAGUGGAA
Long non-coding RNA from Gymnodraco acuticeps, 1791 nucleotides. RefSeq lists it as uncharacterized. The record is from RefSeq and is a predicted model, not a curated record. NCBI's taxonomy places the organism in Eukaryota, Metazoa, Chordata, Actinopteri, Perciformes, Bathydraconidae. The transcript has 3 exons.